UGGGGAAUAUUAGUCAAUGGGGGAAACCCUGAACUAGCGACGCCGCGUGAAGGAAGAAGGUCUUCGGAUUGUAAACUUUUGUCUUCAGGGACGAAGCAAGUGACGGUACCUGAGGAGGAAGCCACGGCUAACUACGUGCCAGCAGCCGCGGUAAUACGUAGGUGGCGAGCGUUGUCCGGAAUUACUGGGUGUAAAGGGUGCGUAGGCGGGUAUGCAAGUCAGGUGUGAAAGCCCAAGGCUUAACUUUGGGAGUGCAUUUGAAACUGCAUAUCUUGAGUGGGGGAGAGGUAAGCGGAAUUCCCAGUGUAGCGGUGAAAUGCGUAGAUAUUGGGAGGAACACCAGUGGCGAAGGCGGCUUACUGGACUCUAACUGACGCUGAGGCACGAAAGCGUGGGGAGCAAACAGG
Molecule: ribosomal RNA, 407 nt
Filed under: uncultured bacterium
Lineage: Bacteria
Description: bacterial SSU rRNA
Rfam family: Bacterial small subunit ribosomal RNA
Source: RNAcentral